GGGGUGGCUCGAAAUAGCCUGAAAAUCACUUUUUUCUCUCUCUUCCCUAUCUCUUUACUCUGUUGUCCUUUCCUCUCCUUUCUUCUAUUGUCUAUAAGCAAUACAAAAAAUACUCUCUCUGUUCCCUUAUCCCUCUCAUUCCCCACAUCUGUAUUCCCUCAUCCCUCUCAUUCCCUAGAUCUCUCUUAUCCUUCUCAUCUCUAUCAAACCUUCUGAUCAGUCGCUGAUUGCGGGAAUGACGACGAAGCAAAACGAACCACAACAAAUGAGGACGAAUGAUGGCCUGAGACAACGAACGACGGACAACGAUUUACAGAUUUCAACAACUCCUCACCUACCGCCGCCAGAAAAUCCUCAUUAUUUAUGAAAAGAAAAGGAAUUUGAGAUUAGAGAACUAUGGAUUCUUCUUCUACUAAUAAUAGCAACAGAAGAUUAAAACCAAAAUUAAGUGAUUGUGGGAGAACUGCGGCAUGAAUGAGAAUGGAAACCAAGGACGUUUGUUCUUUGUUUUCCCAUCGAAAUAGAAUCAUAAGGAACACUGUAAUAUUUCAAAUUCACAGAUGAGGAUGAUGACGACACUAGCUUGACAAUCUGUUCCAAUGUUGGACCUCGAAAAGCUAAAAGAACAGAAGAAUUAAACGAUCUAAGGACAAGGCUUUGUGAGAUGGACAAUGAAAUUCAUGAGCAUAGAUAAAACACUGAUGACCUCCACCAACAUUCUUAUCACACAACAACCAACAUAUAAGGAAGCAAACAAAAACAAUACAAAUUGUUCAAAACAACAAGAACAACACAAAGAAACUCAAUUUAAGUUUAACAGUUUUUCUAUAAUUCUUCAUCCCUUUACAAGUUUAUUUUUACACUUCUAUUUCAAAACUUUAAAAAAAAUAAAAAUAAAGUGUUUCUAAGCACCAUAUUAUCAAAUAGCCACAAUUAGUGGCCUGGAACCCUCCACCUACAGUGGAUUUUAUAAGAUACAUGGGACAGUGUUCUCCUUGUUUUCAAUUUAUAAAAGACAUCAAAUGGAAAACCUAUAAGAUCCUAUGUCACACCUCUGCUUCAAUAAUAAACAUCAUAUGUUUUAAAGAAAACUAUUAUUUCAAUUAUUCCUGCAACAAAUAAACACCUCUAAAAGCAUGGUAAAACCUUUGAUGAAAAAUUCCCUCCCUCUUCAUACCUCCAUUGUCUAAAAAGUGCCCAUAUUGUUCUUUAGAAACUAAAAAAUAAAAUAUUAUAAAACAUAAACAGUGCAUAACCAAAAAGGAAUAGGUUCCCUUCAAUUAAAAGGUAAACAUCUUUAAACAAGCAAAAUUAGCACUAUAGCAACAAAAAAUUAUCAUAAUCAGCAUUUUUGCAACAAGAAGUUCAGUAUACUUAGCACUAUAGCAAUAGAUGACACAGGCAACUGAACCAAUUAAAGUGUCGAAACAUAGAUGAACAAUCAAAAUUAGAUCUGAUUAACCAAAAAUAAAUAUAUAUAAAUAAUAAAAAAAGAACAAGCAGAUGCAUGAAAAGAGAUGCAAAAGAAGAUAGAGAAAGAGUUCAUUUUUUUUUUCCUGUGCAAACAGAAAGAGUUAAUCAAAUCAAAACACUAAUUCUUAAUCACCCUAUGCGAAACCCUAAAUUAAAAACAAAACCAACUAAUUUCAAAUCAUACAGAGCUUGUUAACUAAAAAUCAAUCCAUUACUUGCAAUCACACCCACCUGUAAGAGCAGUAACAGCACCUCUCGGCAAACACAGCAGCAGCGGCAGCACCUUUUGACACACAUAGCAACAGCAACAGCACCCGUCGGCACACAUAGAAGCAGCAUCAGCCUCGUCAGCGGCACACAGUUCUUCCUCAACCUCCAAAGGACUUCUGCAAAAACUUCUAUCCCAGUAAGGAUUUUAAGAAGUUGUUGGGUUUGCCAGUUGAGCAACAGAAAGCUCCUUUGCUGCUCAACUACACCCCAACUUACAAGUCGGCACUACCCGACAUCCCGAGAAAAAGCAAGUCUCCUCAUUCAGCAACAACUCCUGCUACAACUUCAUCACCUCGGCCAGAUCAGGGAUCAACCUCUGAUCCAGCAAAACAGCUAUCAACCUCGGCUCCACAACUAAUCCCACCUUCUCAGCGCAAACGCUAAUGUUAUAUUGUAGCUGCUGUCGAGAUGGGUCGUAAGAAGGCUGUAGCAGACGACCUUCUAGUCGACAUCCCCGACACUGUCACCGUACAACCUUCACCGUCCCAGUCUCAGCCAAAGCCAAAGCCAAAAAGACUAAAGAAAGCCCAACCUAAGGCAACGGUAACUCAGAUCGACUCUGAGGACACCUUGCCAAUCUCCAAAAUAGUUGAGGCGGAAAAAAGUACCCCCGCCGCCGAGAAGAGGACCACCAAGGUUGCUCUCUCUGAAUCAACCCGGUCAAAGAAGCCAAGGUCAGAGUCUGCGACAACCUCGGCGUCCAUGAAAUUUGAUGUCCCCUGGGCCCCUCUAAUCACCAUUAAGGACAAGCCAGUCAGAGUUGGCGAUAGCGCGACUGACAUUGAAGUCAGCAUUGCCCUCUUUACUGCCUUGCUCUUUCCAAAAGACCUCGAGCGCAACGCCAAGGUCAGCGAAUACAAAAAUUUUGCUCUGCAGUUGUAACACUCCGUACAAGCAAUCCAGCAAGCCCACUCCUUCGCAAUGCAGGCCUUUGAAAUUAAGAAGGAGUUGGCUCGCAAGACGAAGGAGGCUGCUGGCUUGCUCAAGACCAUAAAUAAGGUCGAGGCUAAGAUGAAGACUUUAGCAGAUCAAGCCAAGGUAGCAAAACAAGCCCAAGACGAGGCCGAGGAGAGAACAGGCACUACUGAGGCCAUUGUUAAGGUCCUUGAAGCUGAAAAAAAAGAGGCCGAAGCGAAGACUGCCAAGGCCCAAGCCAAGCUCAUUGUUGCCUUGGCCACAAAGGACGCCGAGAUCAAAAUGGUAGAUGAGAAGGCGUAUGCUGAGGAGGCAGCAGACGUCAAAGAAGACUAUAAGAAACAAGUAAAGUAGGCAUGCAACAAGGGUUUCACCCUUGGUUGGAUGGCUGCUUUGAAGGAGUUGGCUAUCCCCGAGAACUCUCCUCUCAAGAAUUCCAGCAACCUCGUCCUACCAUUUCCUCUCUCUCCAAGCCAGUCCGAGGAGAGGCUGAGUCCGAGGAGGAAGCUAAGGCCGAAAAAUCCGAGAAGGCUGUGGAUGCUAGGGCCAAGUCCUCAACUCUAAAUGAGCAAGUCUUGGGCUUAACUCAGGAUGAGGCGGGCGAGGUCUCAAAAGAUGCCACCCUUGAGAAGACAUCAUUUGACGCGCCUAUUGCCGAGAAGAGCAUCGACCAAACUCUCCAAGAGAUCGAUGCUGAGCUCGUGGCUGAGAAGGCUGCCGAAAAGAGUUCUCAGAUGUCUUCCAAGCCCCAAACCGAUCCAGCUGAUGAUGCCGAAUAGUCUAAUCUUGAAGCUUUUCCGCUGUACUUAGUACUUUUUUCUUUUUGAACAAUGUUUAGCUCUUUAUUUGGCCGAUGUGCCUUUUUGUAAUCUGAACAAUUGUUCUUCAAUGUCAAGUCAAAGUGUCUUAUUUCCUUA
Camellia sinensis is the source of this 3575-nucleotide non-coding RNA. The record is from RefSeq and is a predicted model, not a curated record. Lineage: Eukaryota; Viridiplantae; Streptophyta; Magnoliopsida; Ericales; Theaceae.